Molecule: long non-coding RNA, 633 nt
Organism: Sitodiplosis mosellana (orange wheat blossom midge)
Lineage: Eukaryota; Metazoa; Arthropoda; Insecta; Diptera; Cecidomyiidae
Exons: 7
Source: RefSeq, a predicted model, not a curated record
CCCCACGGAGUCGCUCUUUUCAAUUUCGGCGUUUGGAGAGUCAACAUCUAAAAUUCCCAAUCGGAAGAAAACAAUUUGUAAAUUUCCACUAAAAACACAAAGAAUCGCAUUUAUUGUGUUUCAAAAUGGAGUCAUCCAUUUCAAUUCCACGUGGGCGCGUCGCCUAUAUUCAUUGUACGAGCUGAACAAGUUCUUAUGGGAUAUUCCGGUUUGAAGAAGAAAAAAAAUCACGUUAGGUCACCUGAAAUGUAACCACGUGGUGCCGGGCCAAUGUUAAGUACCAACUGAAUGUGUUGGAGUCUUGGUCGUGAAGAUGAAGCAUUUCAUUUCGUGCACACCUACCAACAUUCAUCGGUGAACACAAGAAGAUCAGCAACGAAACCAUCGCUCGAGCGCAAUGGUCACAAUCGACACAGUCAAAAGCCAUCAGUUAACACGGAGUGAAAACAUCGAAAAGCAGCGCUCACGAGAUGACCAUGAAUGGAGUCGUUGAACAAAGGUCACAGUUUAGCAAGAUGUGCUGACAAUUUACUGAUGAUCUCAUUGGAAUAAAAAAAAGUUGUUUUCAAUGUAUUCGUUACCAUAAGCUUUAUUUCUAUUGAAAAUAAAGUAAAAAUAAGUCAAAAAUCCAAA